CUACGGGAGGCUCCAGUGGGGAAUAUUGGACAAUGGGGGAAACCCUGAUCCAGCAAUGCCGCGUGUGUGAAGAAGGCCUGCGGGUUGUAAAGCACUUUCGGUUGGGAGGACUGCUUCUAGCACUAAUAUUGUUGGAAGUUGACGUUACCUUCAGAAGAAGCACCGGCUAACUCCGUGCCAGCAGCCGCGGUAAUACGGAGGGUGCAAGCGUUAAUCGGAAUUACUGGGCGUAAAGCGCGCGUAGGCGGCUAGAUCAGUCGGGUGUGAAAGCCCCGGGCUUAACCUGGGAACUGCAUCCGAUACUGUCGAGCUUGAGUACAGGAGAGGAGAGUGGAAUUCCACAUGUAGCGGUGAAAUGCGUAGAUAUGUGGAGGAACACCAAUGGCGAAGGCAGCUCUCUGGCCUGAUACUGACGCUGAGGUGCGAAAGCGUGGGGAGCGAACAGGAUUAGAUACCCCAGUAGUC
Molecule: ribosomal RNA, 465 nt
Filed under: uncultured bacterium
Lineage: Bacteria
Description: partial 16S ribosomal RNA
Rfam family: Bacterial small subunit ribosomal RNA
Source: RNAcentral